Molecule: ribosomal RNA, 981 nt
Filed under: uncultured bacterium
Lineage: Bacteria
Description: bacterial SSU rRNA
Rfam family: Bacterial small subunit ribosomal RNA
Source: RNAcentral
AGAGUUUGAUCAUGGCUCAGAACGAACGCUGGCGGCGUGGAUAAGACAUGCAAGUCGAACGGGUUUAGCCUGGUAGCAAUACUAGGUUGAGCCAGUGGCGAACGGGUGCGUAACACGUGAGUCAUCUGCCUGAAAGUGGGGGAUAGCUCGCCGAAAGGCGAAUUAAUACCGCAUGUGCCCCGAAGCAAUUCGGGGUAAAGCCGGGGCAACCUGGCGCUUUUAGAUGAGCUCGCGGCCUAUCAGCUUGUUGGUAAGGUAACGGCUUACCAAGGCUUCGACGGGUAGCUGGUCUGAGAGGACGACCAGCCACACUGGAACUGAGACACGGUCCAGACACCUACGGGUGGCAGCAGUCGAGAAUUUUUCUCAAUGGGGGAAACCCUGAAGGAGCGACGCCGCGUGGAGGAUGAAGGCUUUCGGGUUGUAAACUCCUGUCAUUUGGGAACAAUACCUUACGUUAACUGCGUGGAGGUUUGAUAGUACCAGAAGAGGAAGAGACGGCUAACUCUGUGCCAGCAGCCGCGGUAAUACAGAGGUCUCGAGCGUUGUUCGGAUUCAUUGGGCGUAAAGGGCGCGUAGGCUGCGGGGCAAGUCGGGUGUGAAAUCUCAGAGCUCAACUCUGAAACUGCACUCGAUACUGCUUUGCUAGAGGACUGGAGAGGAGAUUGGAAUUCACGGUGUAGCAGUGAAAUGCGUAGAUAUCGUGAGGAAGACCAGUGGCGAAGGCGGAUCUCUGGAUAGUUCCUGACGCUGAGGCGCGAAGGCCAGGGGAGCGAACGGGAUUAGAUACCCCGGUAGUCCUGGCAGUAAACGGUGCACGUUUGGUGUGCGCGGAUUCGACCCCGUGCGUGCCGGAGCUAACGCGUUAAACGUGCCGCCUGAGGAGUACGGUCGCAAGAUUAAAACUCAAGAAAUUGACGGGGGCCCGCACAAGCGGUGGAGUAUGUGGCUUAAUUCGAUGCAACGCGAAAACCUUACCUG